RNAcentral lists this ribosomal RNA (759 nucleotides) under uncultured bacterium. RNAcentral's name for it is "bacterial SSU rRNA". It matches the Rfam family "Bacterial small subunit ribosomal RNA", at positions 8 to 796 of the family's 1533-position model. The record is from RNAcentral.
AGAGUUUGAUCCUGGCUCAGCCUGAACGCUGGCGGCGUGGCUAAGACAUGCAAGUCGCACGGUGUAGCAAUACACAGUGGCGAACGGGUGAGUAAUGAAUCGCUAACGUACCCCGGACACUGGGAUAGCCAUCCGAAAGGGUGGGUAAUACCAGAUGAUAUAACCUUGUUGCAUGACAGGGUUCUCAAAGGUCCGCCGGUCUGGGAGCGGGCGAUUUUGUAUCAGCUAGUUGGUGAGGUAACGGCUCACCAAGGCGACGACGCAUAGCCGGACCGAGAGGUUGGCCGGCCACAUUGGGACUGAGACACUGCCCAGACUCCUACGGGGGGCUGCAGUAACGAAUCUUCCGCAAUGUACGAAAGUAUGACGGAGCGACGCCGCGUGCAGGACGAAGCCCUUCGGGGUGUAAACUGCUGUCAGGGGUUAGAAAGUUCUGAUCAACCCCAGAGGAAGGCACGGCUAACUCUGUGCCAGCAGCCGCGGUAAGACAGAGGUGCCAAGCGUUAGGCGGAAUCACUGGGCUUAAAGCGUGUGUAGGCGGAAUCGUAAGUACCUUGUGAAAUCCCACGGCUCAACCGUGGAACUGCUUGGUAUACUGCGAUUCUUGGGCCAAUUAGGGGCAGCCGGAACAAAUGGUGGAGCGGUGAAGUGCGUAGAUAUCAUUUGGAACGCCAAGGGCGAAAGCAGGCUGCUGGGAUUGUGCCGACGCUGAGACACGAAAGCCAGGGGAGCAAACGGGAUUAGAUACCCUAGUAGUCC